GAACGCUGGCGGCGUGCUUAACACAUGCAAGUCGAACGGGAAGCGGUGUGGAUCUGCUUAGGUGGGUUCAUGUCGUGGAGAGUGGCGAACGGGUGCGUAACACGUAGGUAACCUGCCCUGAAAUGGGGGAUAACCACGGGAAACUGUGGCUAAUACCGCAUAAUCUCGCCGGGACGGGAGUACGGUGAGGAAAGCUGAGGCGAUUUGGGAGGGGCCUGCGGUCGAUUAGCUGGUUGGUGGGGUAAAGGCCUACCAAGGCGAUGAUCGAUAGCUGUUCUGAGAGGAAGGCCAGCCACACGGGAACUGAGACACGGUUCCGACUCCUACGGGGGGCAGCAGUGAGGAAUAUUGCGCAAUGGGGGGAACCCUGACGCAGCAACGCCGCGUGGAGGACGAAGGUUUUCGGAUUGUAAACUCCUUAACUGGGGGAAGAGGAAGGACGGUACCCCAGGACGAAGACACGGCUAACUACGUGCCAGCAGCCGCGGUAACACGUAGGUGUCGAGCGUUAUCCGGGAAUUACUGGG
Molecule: ribosomal RNA, 527 nt
Filed under: uncultured bacterium
Lineage: Bacteria
Description: bacterial SSU rRNA
Rfam family: Bacterial small subunit ribosomal RNA
Source: RNAcentral